RNAcentral lists this long non-coding RNA (564 nucleotides) under Struthio camelus australis. RNAcentral's name for it is "lncRNA (ENSSCUG00000011697.1)". The record is from RNAcentral. Lineage: Eukaryota; Metazoa; Chordata; Aves; Struthioniformes; Struthionidae.
GGAUGGAGGAUCCAGUGUUUUCACGGACGAUUCAUGUGAUUUCUUGGCAACAGGGUGAACCAGGAGCCCCAGGGCCUCCAGGAGCACAGGGCAUCCAGGGCAUUCGUGGCAACACCGGCAUUCCCGGAUCACGGGGAGAGAGAGGAACUCCCGGUCUGCCUGGGGUGCCAGGACAGAAGGGAGAAAUCGGCUUUGGAGUAGCUGGCCCAAGAGGUCCCCGUGGACUCCCUGGCCCUCAGGGUGAUGAGGGCGUCGUGGGAGUCCGAGGCCCCCUUGGCAUGAGGGUGAGUGUUAACACAGGAUGGAGGGCUAGUUUAAUGUCAUAGACGACAGUGGCCCCAGGGCUGGCAAAAUCCCUGCGUGCAAUGGAAAGAUUAAAGUGGUUUAAUGCUUUCAGUGGAAAAUAGAGAUUCUGGGAGCCUGAAUUCCAAUGGUUUGCUGGGAUUGUGAGCAUAAAUCCUGUAGGUAGAUAUAAAACAUAAGCUGUCAUGCUGAGCGUAAUUACUUUAGGCUCUUGGCCAUUUGGCUGACUCAUCUACAAGAUGCGUUUGAAGUCGUUCAAAA